CAGUGAGCUAUGAUCAUGCACUCAAAACUGAGUAACAGAGCCAGACCCUCCCUCCCUCCCUCCCUCUCUCCCUGUCUCUCUCUCUCUCUCAAGUCGGAAAGACUGGACUCCUCCAAUUCAUCUGCUUACUGAAAGCAUGCAGCAGCUCCUCCUUGCUUCUUCCGGAUAAUCCUCUAAUCUCUGGUUAAACUUAUUUAUUUAUUUAGAGCAAGCCAGCUGACUUUUUAUUGCUUUGUGGGCAGAGGGCUCAGGAGCUCUUGGUGGGGCGGGUUCACUUCUUCUCUCUGGCUGCGCAGGAUGGCAGAAGGACGGCUGUGGCUGGCUGCCAUGCGCAGGUCGGGCGGUACUUGAUUUUUUCCGCAUCACGUGUCUGAUGGCGCUGGGCGAGGCGCGGGCAUUCUUGAUGGUGGUCCGCACGGAGGAGGUGGCAGGCUUCCGCCGGCCAGAUCUCUGCUUCAUGACCACCACGACACCUUUGCCGUUGGCUGGUGGCUCCAUGCCCACAGUCUGGCGGUGAAGUAACCCGUGGUAGCGGAAUGAGUUGUGGGCCUGCAAGUUAUGGGGCUCUGUGCUGUAGGUCCGCUUACUCCUUUUGAUCAAUCAGGAAAGCGGAGCAGUUCCGCAGGACCAUCCAUUGCGGGGCAGACUUGGCGGCGGCUCCUCUCGCAGCUGCCUCGGGUGCUUUUUAAAAGGAAUGGGUAUGAGAUCCAAUUCCAUAUAAUGUAAGAUGGUGACAGAUAUGUGGGAAGUUUCUGAAACUAUGAGGAUCCAGUUGCUCCCUCCUACCAAAUGUGAACAAGAAAGCACCGCAACUCUGACUGGUACUGUGGCCAUCCUGUGAUUAACGUGGAAUGGACUUCAGCACUGAGCUUUCAUUCUGAAGGCAGAGUGAAAAGACUAAUAGAACUUAGACCUAGGUCGAUGUAUUGAACCAUGGCAUGCAACAAUGCUGAAGCCCUCACUAUAUCUAGACUUUCUGAUAGAUGAGCCA
Molecule: long non-coding RNA, 991 nt
Organism: Callithrix jacchus (white-tufted-ear marmoset)
Lineage: Eukaryota; Metazoa; Chordata; Mammalia; Primates; Cebidae
Source: Ensembl